Molecule: transfer RNA, 65 nt
Filed under: Postolata guangxiensis
Lineage: Eukaryota; Metazoa; Mollusca; Bivalvia; Unionida; Unionidae
Description: tRNA-Pro
Source: RNAcentral
CAGAAAAUAGUUUAAUUAAAACAAAAACUUUGGGAGUUUUAGACUUAGGCAUUCUAAUUUUCUGA